GCCUAGCACCAUUUGAAAAUUUUUGUUGGCAACCCUGCUUCUAUAAGCUCAGAAGCUAAGCAGAAUCUAGCCUGGUUAGGACUUCAGUGGGAGAACAGUUAAAAAUAGCAGGUUAUAUAGGCU
RNAcentral lists this ribosomal RNA (123 nucleotides) under Salvator merianae (Argentine black and white tegu). The record is from RNAcentral. Lineage: Eukaryota; Metazoa; Chordata; Lepidosauria; Squamata; Teiidae.